AUUGAACGCUGGAGGUAUGCUUAACACAUGCAAGUCGAACGCGAAAGUUUCUUCGGAAGCAAGUAGAGUGGCGGACGGGUGAGUAACGCGUAGGAAUCUACCUAGAUGUGGGGGAUAACAUGGAGAAAUUCAUGCUAAUACCGCAUAUGUCCCACGGGAUAAAGAGGGCCUCUUCUUGAAAGCUCUUGCAUUUAGAUGAGCCUGCGUCGGAUUAGCUUGUUGGCGGGGUAAUGGCCCACCAAGGCGACGAUCCGUAGCUGGUCUGAGAGGAUGAUCAGCCACAUCGGGACUGAGACACGGCCCGAACUCCUACGGGAGGCAGCAGUGGGGAAUAUUGGACAAUGGGCGAAAGCCUGAUCCAGCAAUACCUCGUGUGUGAAGAAGGCCUUAGGGUUGUAAAGCACUUUUCAAUUGGGACGAAGGUUGUAAGAUUAAUACUCUUAUGACUUGACGGUACCUUUAGAAGAAGCACCGGCUAACUCCGUGCCAGCCGCCGC
RNAcentral lists this ribosomal RNA (497 nucleotides) under uncultured bacterium. Its description in RNAcentral is "bacterial SSU rRNA". It matches the Rfam family "Bacterial small subunit ribosomal RNA", at positions 30 to 518 of the family's 1533-position model. The record is from RNAcentral.